CAGAGUUUAACCACUCAAAACCAUUGUGAACCUUACCUCAACCGUUGCUUCGGCGGGCGCCCGCGGGAGGUAAACCGAACCCUAGAAUUGUAUGGCCUCUCUGAGUCUUCUGUACUGAAUAAGUCA
This 126-nucleotide unclassified non-coding RNA is filed under the name uncultured Sordariomycetes. RNAcentral's name for it is "sequence contains ITS1". Lineage: Eukaryota; Fungi; Ascomycota; Sordariomycetes. The record is from RNAcentral.